Molecule: ribosomal RNA, 513 nt
Filed under: Teuchophorus spinigerellus
Lineage: Eukaryota; Metazoa; Arthropoda; Insecta; Diptera; Dolichopodidae
Description: partial 16S ribosomal RNA
Rfam family: Bacterial large subunit ribosomal RNA (bases 389-513)
Source: RNAcentral
GUCUUUUUGUAAUUAAAUUUAAAGUCUAAUCUGCCCACUGAUAAUUAUUUAAUGGCCGCAGUAUUUUAACUGUGCAAAGGUAGCAUAAUCAUUAGUCUUUUAAUUGGAGGCUUGUAUGAAUGAUUGAACGAGAUAUAAACUGUCUCAUAAAAAUUUUUAAUAGAAUUUAAUUUUUUAGUUAAAAAGCUAAAAUAUUUUUAAAAGACGAGAAGACCCUAUAGAUCUUUAUAAAAUAAUUUAUUCUUUUUUUUUAGAUUUAUUAAAUAUUAAUAAAUUAUUUUAUUUUGUUGGGGUGACAUUGAAAUUUAUAAAACUUUCAAAUUUUAAAUUCAUUAUUUUAUGUAUUAAUGAUCUUUUAUUAUUGAUUAAAAAUUUAAGUUACCUUAGGGAUAACAGCGUAAUUAUUUUGGUGAGUUCUUAUCGAUAAAAUAGAUUGCGACCUCGAUGUUGGAUUAAGAUAAAUUUUAGGUGUAGAAGCUUAAAGUAUUAAGUCUGUUCGACUUUUAAUUUCUU